This 664-nucleotide ribosomal RNA is filed under the name uncultured bacterium. RNAcentral describes it as "bacterial SSU rRNA". It matches the Rfam family "Bacterial small subunit ribosomal RNA", at positions 228 to 886 of the family's 1533-position model. The record is from RNAcentral.
UCCCCAGAUGGGAUUAGCUAGUAGGUGGGGGUAAUGGCUCCCCUUAGGGCGACGAUCCCUAGCUGGUUUGAGAGGAUGACCAGCCACACUGGAACUGAGACACGGUCCAGACUCCUACGGGAGGCAGUGGGGAAUAUUGCACAAUGGGCGAAAGCCUGAUCCAGCCAUGCCGCGUGUGUGAAGAAGGUCUUCGGAUUGUAAAGCACUUUAAGUUGGGAGGAAGGGCAUUAACCUAAUACGUUAGUGUUUUGACGUUACCGACAGAAUAAGCACCGGCUAACUCUGUGCCAGCAGCCGCGGUAAUACAGAGGGUGCAAGCGUUAAUCGGAAUUACUGGGCGUAAAGCGCACGCAGGCGGUCUGUUAAGUCAGAUGUGAAAUCCCCGGGCUCAACCCGGGAACUGCAUUUGAAACUGGCAGGCUUGAGUCUCGUAGAGGGGGGUAGAAUUCCAGGUGUAGCGGUGAAAUGCGUAGAGAUCUGGAGGAAUACCGGUGGCGAAGGCGGCCCCCUGGACAAAGACUGACGCUCAGGUGCGAAAGCGUGGGGAGCAAACAGGAUUAGAUACCCUGGUAGUCCACGCCGUAAACGAUGUCGACUUGGAGGUUGUUCCCUUGAGGAGUGGCUUCCGGAGCUAACGCAUUAAGUGACCGCCUGGGGAGACGCC